CUUAGUGGCGGACGGGUGAGUAACGCGUGAGUAACCUGCCUUUCAGAGGGGAUAACGUUCUGAAAAGAACGCUAANACCGCAUAAUMURUCGGUGCUGCAUGGUACUGAUAUCAAAGGARCAAUCCGCUGAAAGAUGGACUCGCGUCCGAUUAGCCAGUUGGCGGGRUAAAGGCCCACCAAAGCRACRAUCGGUAGCCGGGUUGAGAGACUGAACGGCCACAUUGGGACUGAGACACGGCCCAGACUCCUACGGGAGGCAGCAGUGGGGGAUAUUGCACAAUGGAGGAAACUCUGAUGCAGCAAUGCCGCGUGAGGGAAGACGGUCUUCGGAUUGUAAACCUCUGUCCUUGGUGAAGAUAAUGACGGUAGCCAAGGAGGAAGCUCCGGCUAACUACGUGCCAGCAGCCGCGGUAAUACGUAGGGAGCAAGCGUUGUCCGGAUUUACUGGGUGUAAAGGGUGCGUAGGCGGCUUUUUAAGUCGGGCGUGAAAGCUGUGGGCUUAACCCACAAAUUGCGUUCGAAACUGGAAGGCUUGAGUGAAGUAGAGGUAGGCGGAAUUCCCGGUGUAGCGGUGAAAUGCGUAGAGAUCGGGAGGAACACCAGUGGCGAAGGCGGCCUACUGGGCUUUAACUGACGCUGAGGCACGAAAGCAUGGGUAGCAAACAGGAUUAGAUACCCUGGUAGUCCAUGCCGUAAACGAUGAUUACUAGGUGUGGGGGGUCUGACCCCUUCCGUGCCGGAGUUAACACAAUAAGUAAUCCACCUGGGGAGUACGGCCGCAAGGUUGAAACUCAAAGGAAUUGACGGGGGCCCGCACAAGCAGUGGAGUAUGUGGUUUAAUUCGAAGCAACGCGAAGAACCUUACCAGGUCUUGACAUCCAACUAACGAGGCAGAGAUGCAUUAGGUGCCCUUCGGGGAAAGUUGAGACAGGUGGUGCAUGGUUGUCGUCAGCUCGUGUCGUGAGAUGUUGGGUUAAGUCCCGCAACGAGCGCAACCCUUGUGAUUAGUUGCUACGAAAGAGCACUCUAAUCAGACUGCCGUUGACAAACUGGAGGAAGGUGGGGACGACGUCAAAUCAUCAUGCCCCUUAUGACCUGGGCUACACACGUGCUACAAUGGUCCCUACAAGGAGAAGCGAGCUCGCGAGUGCAAGCAAACCUCCUAAAGCGAUCUCAGUUCGGAUUGUAGUCUGCAACUCGACUACAUGAAGUCGGAAUCGCUAGUAAUCGUGGAUCAGAAUGCCGCGGUGAAUACGUUCCCGGGCCUUGUACACACCGCCCGUCACACCAUGGGAGUGGUAAUACCCGAAGCCAAUAGUCUAACCGCAAGGAGGACGUUGUCGAAGGUAGGAUUGGCGACUGGGGUG
Molecule: ribosomal RNA, 1368 nt
Filed under: Clostridium sp.
Lineage: Bacteria; Bacillati; Bacillota; Clostridia; Eubacteriales; Clostridiaceae
Description: bacterial SSU rRNA
Source: RNAcentral